GAUGAACGCUGGCGGCGUGCCUAAUACAUGCAAGUCGAGCGAACAGACGAGGAGCUUGCUCCUCUGACGUUAGCGGCGGACGGGUGAGUAACACGUGGAUAACCUACCUAUAAGACUGGGAUAACUUCGGGAAACCGGAGCUAAUACCGGAUAAUAUAUUUAACCGCAUGGUUCAAUAGUGAAAGACGGUUUUGCUUUCACUUAUAGAUGGAUCCGCGCCGCAUUAGCUAGUUGGUAAGGUAACGGCUUACCAAGGCAACGAUGCGUAGCCGACCUGAGAGGGUGAUCGGCAACACUGGAACUGAGAAACGGUCCAGACUCCUACGGGAGGAAGAAGAAGGGAAUCUUCCGCAAUGGGCGAAAGCCUGACGGAGCAACGCCGCGUGAGUGAUGAAGGUCUUCGGAUCGUAAAACUCUGUUAUUAGGGAAGAACAAAUGUGUAAGUAACUAUGCACGUCUUGACGGUACCUAAUCAGAAAGCCACGGCUAACUACGUG
This 497-nucleotide ribosomal RNA is filed under the name uncultured bacterium. RNAcentral's name for it is "partial 16S ribosomal RNA". It matches the Rfam family "Bacterial small subunit ribosomal RNA", at positions 28 to 507 of the family's 1533-position model. The record is from RNAcentral.